Molecule: ribosomal RNA, 287 nt
Filed under: uncultured Pseudomonas sp.
Lineage: Bacteria; Pseudomonadati; Pseudomonadota; Gammaproteobacteria; Pseudomonadales; Pseudomonadaceae
Description: partial 16S ribosomal RNA
Rfam family: Bacterial small subunit ribosomal RNA
Source: RNAcentral
CGCAACCCUUGUCCUUAGUUACCAGCACGUUAUGGUGGGCACUCUAAGGAGACUGCCGGUGACAAACCGGAGGAAGGUGGGGAGUGACGUCAAGUCAUCAUGGCCCUUACGGCCUGGGCUACACACGUGCUACAAUGGUCGGUACAAAGGGUUGCCAAGCCGCGAGGUGGAGCUAAUCCCAUAAAACCGAUCGUAGUCCGGAUCGCAGUCUGCAACUCGACUGCGUGAAGUCGGAAUCGCUAGUAAUCGUGAAUCAGAAUGUCACGGUGAAUACGUUCCCGGGCCUU